RNAcentral lists this ribosomal RNA (439 nucleotides) under uncultured bacterium. RNAcentral describes it as "partial 16S ribosomal RNA". It matches the Rfam family "Bacterial small subunit ribosomal RNA", at positions 339 to 795 of the family's 1533-position model. The record is from RNAcentral.
CUACGGGAUGCAGCAGUGGGGAAUCUUAGACAAUGGGGGAAACCCUGAUCUAGCCAUGCCGCGUGAGCGACGACGGCCCUAGGGUUGUAAAGCUCUUUCAGCAGGGAAGAUAAUGACGGUACCUGCAGAAGAAGUCCCGGCUAACUCCGUGCCAGCAGCCGCGGUAAUACGGAGGGGACUAGCGUUGUUCGGAAUUACUGGGCGUAAAGCGCGCGUAGGCGGAGUGUUAAGUCGGGGGUGAAAUCCCGGGGCUCAACCCCGGAACUGCCCUCGAUACUGGCAGUCUUGAGUUCGGGAGAGGUGAGUGGAAUUCCGAGUGUAGAGGUGAAAUUCGUAGAUAUUCGGAGGAACACCAGUGGCGAAGGCGGCUCACUGGCUCGAUACUGACGCUGAGGUGCGAAAGCGUGGGGAGCAAACAGGAUUAGAUACCCCAGUAGUC